CAGCCGCGCAGCGUGGCCGGGGAAGCUGGCCUCGCGCCGCGGUCCCCCUGAUGGGCCUGCGAGGAAGACGCUUUGAAAUAGAGCGGAGCUGGGAAAGCUCCUGCGAGGGACGACCGCCCCUUGAGGCUGGCCUCUUACCUAGCCUCUCAUCUGCGACCCCGAGGGUCACGUUUUCCGGAAGAUGCAAUCCUGCAUCCUUGAACCAGAAGACCUUGUUGGAGUCUGCAAACUGUGAUGCAGGGUGUGAGCACCGAGAAAAAGCAAAGAGAUCCCAGUCGGGACUUUGUUGGGCCCAAACCUCGUUCUGCGCACCAACAAAGAUCUGAUUAUGAUCUAUACAGACCUAAGAUUGCUCAUUUGUCCCGUCUUUUGGAGACUCUUUGGUGACCUUCAGUAAAUCGUGUCCUUCCUACCCUCAUUUAACUAACAUCAAGCCCCUGAGUUGCCUGUACAGAGGGAUGGCUUACAAUUACGCGCUUUUGUACCACACACUAAUACAAGGUCAGCUAGGUAAUGUAAUAUGUUCAGUGAAAGUUGAACGGUUAUCAGGACUUUAUGAGUUGGAGCACCUUCAUUAUGAUUUCUUCAUUAAUCUCAAGGCUUUAUUUAGCGCCUCUCUGCAAUACUUAAACAUAACCUUUGGGGUGAGAGGGAAAGGACAUUAAAAUACCUACAGAACUAUUUCUGGAAUCCUCCUUGUCCACACCCACCUCCCCACCCCUGAAUGUUCAUUUGAAUAGUGCUUUUUUGGCAAAACUCCAAACUCCCGAAUUACGCACUUGUGAUGACACUGAAUUAGAUUACUGUCUGCAAGGUUAAUAUACCCCUCAGGUACUAACCUUAGUAUAUCGUGAUGCCCGUUUGAAAUAGCUGAGGCUCAGAAGUUCAGAUGAAUUCAGACACGGGUAACUAAGAAAUGCAAGGAUGAGCCAACAGCUCCGCAAUAAGCUCCAUUCGAUUUCUCUGCUAAAAGAUAUAAAUUUUAAUAAGAUGACAGUGCAUAUUCUGAAUGCUAAUUGUAACAAAACAGUGAUAUAAGCUAGAGCAAGGGACACUUCUCUGGAGGACAGCCUUCUGGCAACUUCUAGCAACUGCAAUGGCAUCAAAUUCACAUGUUUAAAAAAAAAAAAAAA
Molecule: non-coding RNA, 1133 nt
Organism: Cricetulus griseus (Chinese hamster)
Lineage: Eukaryota; Metazoa; Chordata; Mammalia; Rodentia; Cricetidae
Source: RefSeq, a predicted model, not a curated record